RNAcentral lists this long non-coding RNA (816 nucleotides) under Rattus norvegicus (Norway rat). Its description in RNAcentral is "long non-coding RNA NONRATT025714". Lineage: Eukaryota; Metazoa; Chordata; Mammalia; Rodentia; Muridae. The record is from RNAcentral.
CAGCAAGAGGAGCUUUCCCGGCUUACUCGGCUGGGAAGGCCGAGUUUCUGGAGCCGUAGAAGAGGAUUCUCAAAGAUAAUGAGGACAGGUAACCAAAUGUAUAUUGGAGAUAACUGACAAAAGCGACUAGAUAGCCUCUGAAGCUCUGGUUGUAAGGCCCCGCCCCCUUUUCUGUUUCCUGAGCCACCUGCCCUUGCAGGUCUAGUGACUGAGUGUACUCAGCCUUCUCUUACUUUUCAUAAAGUGACCUUAGAACCUAGAAAAGCCGAGCUUCUCACGCGGGGCCGUGUUAAAGUGCACGUUCUGCUGCUGAAGUAGGAUCGGAUAGUCUGCGUUUCUAAAACAUGCUCGGAUAACCCCAGUGCCGCAGUUCCACAAUUAGAGCAACAAACACUAUUUAUCUUACAUGCUUAAUGAAAGAAGUAAAUUGUUCCGAAAAUAUAGACGUCACUGGGCACAGCCUCUGUCUCCCUGCUAUCCAUUCAAGUAGCCCGUCCAUAGUCCCACCACCCUAAUAACCCUAACCCUGCCUCCCCUGUCUCUGCUCUGUUCAAGUUAAAGUGUCUUAAGAUGGGUAAUAGGAUAGACUAUUACAAGAAGAAUUGGAGGAGGGAUGGGAGAAGAAUUAUGGGGGGAGGGGCGCGCGUACGCUGCCCUGGUGUGUUUACAUGUUUGUGUGGGUGCAACUGUAUGUACACAUGCCAGAAAAAGCCAAGGCCAGAGGUUAGCCUUAGGUGUUGUUCCUCGGGAGCUGAACCUCUUGUUUUUUUGAGAUAAGGUCUCCAAAAACCUGGUGCUUUGCCUUUCUCCAUCUCU